Molecule: ribosomal RNA, 768 nt
Filed under: Clostridioides difficile Y231
Lineage: Bacteria; Bacillati; Bacillota; Clostridia; Peptostreptococcales; Peptostreptococcaceae
Description: bacterial SSU rRNA
Rfam family: Bacterial small subunit ribosomal RNA
Source: RNAcentral
AGAGUUUGAUCCUGGCUCAGGAUGAACGCUGGCGGCGUGCCUAACACAUGCAAGUUGAGCGAUUUACUUCGGUAAAGAGCGGCGGACGGGUGAGUAACGCGUGGGUAACCUACCCUGUACACACGGAUAACAUACCGAAAGGUAUGCUAAUACGGGAUAAUAUAUUUGAGAGGCAUCUCUUAAUAUCAAAGGUGAGCCAGUACAGGAUGGACCCGCGUCUGAUUAGCUAGUUGGUAAGGUAACGGCUUACCAAGGCGACGAUCAGUAGCCGACCUGAGAGGGUGAUCGGCCACAUUGGAACUGAGACACGGUCCAAACUCCUACGGGAGGCAGCAGUGGGGAAUAUUGCACAAUGGGCGAAAGCCUGAUGCAGCAACGCCGCGUGAGUGAUGAAGGCCUUCGGGUCGUAAAACUCUGUCCUCAAGGAAGAUAAUGACGGUACUUGAGGAGGAAGCCCCGGCUAACUACGUGCCAGCAGCCGCGGUAAUACGUAGGGGGCUAGCGUUAUCCGGAUUUACUGGGCGUAAAGGGUGCGUAGGCGGUCUUUCAAGUCAGGAGUGAAAGGCUACGGCUCAACCGUAGUAAGCUCUUGAAACUGGGAGACUUGAGUGCAGGAGAGGAGAGUGGAAUUCCUAGUGUAGCGGUGAAAUGCGUAGAUAUUAGGAGGAACACCAGUUGCGAAGGCGGCUCUCUGGACUGUAACUGACGCUGAGGCACGAAAGCGUGGGGAGCAAACAGGAUUAGAUACCCUGGUAGUCCACGCUGUAA